AACGAACGCUGGCGGCAUGCCUAACACAUGCAAGUCGAACGAGACCUUCGGGUCUAGUGGCGCACGGGUGCGUAACGCGUGGGAACCUGCCCUUAGGUUCGGAAUAAAUCCCCGCAAGGGGUGCUAAUACCGGAUAAUAUCUUCGGACCAAAGAUUUAUCGCCUUUGGAUGGGCCCGCGUUGGAUUAGCUAGUUGGUAGGGUAAAAGCCUACCAAGGCGACGAUCCAUAGCUGGUCUGAGAGGAUGAUCAGCCACACUGGGACUGAGACACGGCCCAGACUCCUACGGGAGGCAGCAGUGGGGAAUAUUGGACAAUGGGCGAAAGCCUGAUCCAGCAAUGCCGCGUGAGUGAUGAAGGCCUUAGGGUUGUAAAGCUCUUUUACCCGGGAUGAUAAUGACAGUACCGGGAGAAUAAGCUCCGGCUAACUCCGUG
Molecule: ribosomal RNA, 433 nt
Filed under: uncultured bacterium
Lineage: Bacteria
Description: partial 16S ribosomal RNA
Rfam family: Bacterial small subunit ribosomal RNA
Source: RNAcentral